UACGAAGGGGGCGAGCGUUGUUCGGAAUCACUGGGCUUAAAGCGUGCGUAGGCGGGGAGGGAAGGCAGAAGUGAAAUCCCUGGGCUUAACCCAGGAAUUGCUUUUGAAACUCCCUGUCUAGAAACCGAGAGAGGUUAGCGGAAUAUCCAGUGUAGAGGUGAAAUUCGCAGAUAUUGGAUGGAACACCAGUGGCGAAGGCGGCUAACUGGCUCGGUAUUGACGCUGAGGCACGAAAGCGUGGGUAGCAAACAGG
RNAcentral lists this ribosomal RNA (253 nucleotides) under uncultured bacterium. RNAcentral describes it as "partial 16S ribosomal RNA". It matches the Rfam family "Bacterial small subunit ribosomal RNA", at positions 524 to 776 of the family's 1533-position model. The record is from RNAcentral.